GAGUGUCCUCUUUUUAACUGGACAGCAUUUUAUAACGUUUAUGAUUUUCGUAAGCAUUCCUGUAGCGUGACCCUUGACUUGCUGAGAUGCUACGCGGUAUGAGUACCUUGAGAGAAGGGCGCUACCUGAGUCACCAUCUGAAAGGGAAAGAUUGAUAAAAGAAGUUCUGCUAGUAAUUGCUGAUGAAGUUGGGGUUGAGCCUCCUGCUGAGUUGUCUGGAGAUGAAAAUCUUGAAACCGAUCAUCCACCAAGAUUAAUCCUUUCUAGGAUAUCAGAAUCUCUUGAGAUAGAAAGAAAAGAAACCUCAUCUUGUCCUAAAGAUGGAGAAAUUUUACCUUCAGGUCCAAAUAGCAAGAGCAACAGUAUUGCAUUUGCUGUUGCUCAAUCAGAUCUAAUUACUAAUAAAGUUCAAAAUGGGGGAAAUAUUGCUGGAGUGUCUAAUAAUUUACAAGGUUAAUGAAUUUGAUCUUUAAUACAAAGUUUUGUCAGAGGACAAACAUCACUUUGCACUUGCGUAUUUGUCAGAGGACAAACAUCUGUUAUUGGAUUGAAUAAUUGAAUAGUUAAGUUCCUCAAGGUUUCUAGAUUG
Molecule: long non-coding RNA, 589 nt
Organism: Papaver somniferum (opium poppy)
Lineage: Eukaryota; Viridiplantae; Streptophyta; Magnoliopsida; Ranunculales; Papaveraceae
Exons: 2
Source: RefSeq, a predicted model, not a curated record